AAAAUGUACAUUUUAUCAAUUUAAAAUAUCCUGUAUUUUCAGACUGUUUCCUACAUUUUCUAUCUUUUCUAUUCUUAAUGUUGAUUUUUGGCUAGCACGUUAUUUCUCAUCCUUUUAUUUUUAAACUAUCUGUGUCAUUUUGCUUUUUAUGACUCGGAUUUGUUUUCUGUUUGCCAUUGAAAUGUACUUCGGUAUUGUUCAUCAGCUGUGUGCUGUUGAAUAAGAAACCAUUCCAAACCUCAGUCGCUUGGAACCACCCUCCUUUCUUGCUCAGGAUUCCGUGGGUCAGCGCACUGAGCUGGCCUCAGCUGGGCCUUUCUUCUGCUGGUGCUACCUUGGGGCGCUUGGGCAGGUGCAGCCACCUGGUGGCUCCGCUGGGACCUCUCUUGCCCCAAGUCUGGCGGUUGGUGCUGGCUCUCUUCUGGGCCUCCUUCUGCAUGGUGCUUCUGCCCACACGGCCGAGCCUGGGGCUUGUCUCCUUCAGCAGUAUUCCAAGAUGGUGGUGGUCCAAGCUGCAGAGCAUCUUGAUGGCUAGGUCUGGAAGUCUCAUAACAUCCCAUCUGCAUCAUUCUGCUGGGGGAAGCCAACCACCCCGGAGCUGGACCAUGGAGAAGAGGACUCUGCUGCCCAUUGUGGAGAAUGGCAAAGUAUUAUUCGUAAUGGGUUUGAAGCACAGGGAUAUAAGGAAUCAUUUCACUGUCUUUACAUUGUGCUACCGCACACACUGGAUUGAUCAACCAUUUGCUUUAUUCUGGGUUUUUUUUUCCCCAUUGUUGUUGUUCCCAUGGUUUAGAUAUAUUAGUAUCUGUGGUGGAUCAACUAACGGUCAACUUGGGAAGCCCAGCUGAACUGAGUCAGUACAGCAUCCCAGGCUUUCCCACAUGGUGGUGGAAGAGUUUCCAAGAGCUUCAAGAGAGCAGUGCUAUGGUUUGCAUGUGUCUCCUCCAAACUUCAAGCAUGGACGCUUAAUGCUCAAGGUGAUGGUGCUAAGAGGUGGGUACCAAGACGUGAUCAGAUGAUGAGGGUCCUCCCUCAGUGAAUAGGGUUAAGACCCUGAUUAAAAAGGAAAAAAAGCUUUCCUCUCCGGAGGAGCCAGCAACAAGGCACCCACUAUAGUUUGGAUCUAGAAUGUUCCCCCAGAAUUCCAUGUGCUAAACGGCUCGGUUGCCAUCUUGCAUGAUUGGGAGAUGUGGAGACACUGAGAGAUAGGCCAAGUGGAGACAUUCAGGAUGUUGGGGGCGUGCUGCAGGAGGGGCCCAUGGGAGCCAGGCCCUUUCUUUUUCACUCACUAUCCGUGAAGAGAGUGGUUUUAUUUUGUCAUGUGCUCACCCUUCCACAGGCCCCAAAGCGACGGGGCCAACUGAUCAUGGACCAAAACCUCCAAAACGGUGAGCCAAAACUAAAUCUUCCCUCUUUAUAGCUUUGCUUGUUCUUAAAUAGUUGUUGUAGUGGUAGAGAACUAAUAUAGCGCCACCUUGGAAGCAGAGAGAAGCACUCCCUGGACAACUGAACCUACUGUCUCGAACUUCCUGACGUUCUGAACUGUGAGGAGAUAAAUUUCUGUUUUCAUAAAUAACCCAGUUUCAGGUAUUUCGUUACAACAACACAGAACAGAUUUACACAGUAAAACACUGGUAAAAUGUAAAGUGUUUUCAGCUCUGAGCUUUAGGUAUUAUAAUUUCCAAAUGAUUAGUUAUGCUUUAUCACUAACUGAUCUUCAGGUGAGCCUAGCAGUGAUUUCAAAUAAAAUUCACUGCUUUUAUGAUGCUCUGUAAAAUUUCUUUAAGGCCAGAAUCAGUGUACGUUAUGGUGGCUACGCAUGUGGAUGUGAAACCAGAGCUGCUCAGGUUUGGCCCUCAGGUCUGUAAGUUUUGGUGUCAUCUCUUGGGCAGAUCAUUUAACCUCUCUGUGCUUCGAUUUCUUAAUAUGUAAAUGUGGGGUAAGUAUAGUACAUGAAUUUUAGGAUUUAUUCUCAGUAUUCAUCUUAAGGAUCAAAUGAGAAAAACCCUUAGAAUAGCUCCUGGCAAGUGUAAGUACAAUUAAAGUGUUGGCUUUAUGUAUAGCACUGAAUUUCAGGCAUAAAAAUCUCAAUAUCAAAGGUUUCUAAAACUCUUUGAGUUGCUGAAACACUUUUGUAUUUUGAAGGUAAUUUUUGUUUGAUAUUUCAUAUCAUUUAUUUUAAUGAAUUUCAAACCACGGACAGG
Molecule: long non-coding RNA, 2204 nt
Filed under: Heterocephalus glaber (naked mole-rat)
Lineage: Eukaryota; Metazoa; Chordata; Mammalia; Rodentia; Bathyergidae
Description: lncRNA (ENSHGLG00100036678.1)
Source: RNAcentral